RNAcentral lists this microRNA precursor (88 nucleotides) under Canis lupus familiaris (dog). RNAcentral describes it as "mir-8799 microRNA precursor family". It matches the Rfam family "mir-8799 microRNA precursor family". Lineage: Eukaryota; Metazoa; Chordata; Mammalia; Carnivora; Canidae. The record is from Rfam by way of RNAcentral. RNAcentral also lists the same sequence under 1 other name.
GGGGGGAGGCCAGAUCCUAGGCUGUGUCCCCGGCGACCAGUGCUCCCAGGCCUGCGCUGUUGGAAUCGCGCUCCCGGUGUAGCUCUGU